CUGUAGUGAGGUGGCGUUGGUCUGUUCUCCCACGUGCCUGGUGACAGGAUGAGGGGGAAUGGGCUAAAGUUGCACCAGGGGAGGUUUAGGUUGGAUAUUAGGAAGAACUACUUUACUGAGAGGGCUGUCAGGAAUGAGCUGCCCAGUGAAGUGGUUGAGUCACCAUCCCUGAAGGUCUUUAAAAGACGUUUAGAUGUAGAGCUUAGUGAUAUGGUUUAAUGGAGGACUGGUUAGUGUUAGGUUAGAGGUUGGACUAGGUGAUCAAUGAAUACAAAUGCCUAUUUUGAAGGGGGGUAUUCAAAAUAAAUAGAUAGAUAGAUAGUUAGAUGAUAAAUACAUUAAAAAAAAAAAAAAAAAGAAAAAAAGAAAAACAGUAACACUCUGUACUGUCCUACAGUAUUCUGCCUAACAAGAGCACGCCUAGCACUCUGGCACAUCUCUUUCCCAAGCACAUUCAACUUUAUAUAUGUCUUACUCCUGGGCUGAGGUAAAGGAGACAAGAUUGGUUGUGUCUCCAUAGCACUCCAGUCUAUUGAGGGUGGACUCCACUCACUGAGGCUCUGGGCAUCCAUUAGUCAUUCAUUGUCUGUGUAAUAUACAGCACUCAAACAGCAAAAUCAAACCAGACUCAAUCUUUACAUUGAGAAUUAAUAGUAUCUGCAACAUACCUGGGGACAAAAAAAAGGAAAGGUUUGCAUAAAUUGUGUCAGUUAAGUACAUAAUUGUAAAACCAUGUAUAUUCUGUGUGUGAGUCUGCUACAUUCAGAAAGGAGAGAAUGUUCCCUUUGGGAGAGUGACAAAUGAAAUGCUGCUUCUUGGGAAGAAAAACAGGGAGGCACCGAAUCUGUUUGUGGAUUCAAAUGUAUUACAGGGUCAAACAGGCUUGAGUUUCCUUAAUCUCUUUGGUUAAAGAUUAACUAAAGGCCAAUUGUGUACCUAUUUGGAAGCUGUGUAUUUAUUUGGAAUAUUAACUGAGACUUAAGACAGGAAGAAUAAAGAGUUCCUUCAUUCAAAGAUAAUAAAGCCUAGCUGCUCAAUAUUCAUAUCACUUAACCAAACUAGAAUUAUAUAGCAGGGCCGUGACUGAUUGCAGAGCAUACAAUUGCAUCAUGAAUAAUAUUGUCAAAAUGGAGCUCCGAAGCAAGACACCAGAGAGGACAAUCAAGCUAGAAUGUAAAUAUCACAAAGAAAGACUAUUAUGUUGCAGUGUUUCCCAAACAUUAUAAUUCAUGAGUUUGAUUCAAUUAAAAUUAUUUCAAAGCUUUCUAAGUGCAAAAAAAAAAAAAAAAAAAAAAAAAAGGGGAGGGGGGGCAUUAAAGGCCAGUAAAGCUAUGAAAUUUGUCUUCACAGAUGGCUGGUUUGUUCUCUAAGAAAGCAGGCAGUCUACAGAAAACUUCUGAAAUGACCUUGUGUCAUCUAGAAACUAAACUGGUAUCGUCAGAGAAGCUCAGUGUUGAACUGUCUCAGCUCUCAGCAAGGAGGCUUCUGUGUGUAUGGGCCACUCUGUGCAUCACUUCUUUCUCAGAGUCGCACAACAAAAGACCCCCAGGGCUUCAGAAGGUGGAUGUCGUUUGAAAAUUAGAUAUAGCUUUCUUCUAAUUGAACACCAUCCAGAAGAUUAAAGGGACUAUGUGAUUUGGAAACACCUGAAGAACUUGAUUUGGAGAUAUGAAUUUUACCAUUCACUACCAGGAGUGUUCACAUGAUAAUACUAUCUCCCUUCUGAACCCACAGCAAAAAGUCUUGAUAUUUCCCUGGAUAAUGACCACUAAAAGCAAAGCAAGACAAGGGAGAUAGCUCCACUGACUUGGAAUCUGAGGGGUUCAGCCAUACUUUUCUCCAGAUUGAUGAAUCACUUUCCUUUUACAUAUGAUCACAGUCAUCACCAGGAAAUUACACAAUCCCAAAUAAAAACUAAAUUUAA
Anas platyrhynchos (mallard) is the source of this 1924-nucleotide non-coding RNA. NCBI's taxonomy places the organism in Eukaryota, Metazoa, Chordata, Aves, Anseriformes, Anatidae. The record is from RefSeq and is a predicted model, not a curated record.